CAGGAAACUACCUGAAGCCCCGGGAACUGAUGCAGCCAAUCAAGAUCCGUCGAAAGAAGCGAGGGCAGAGCGAGGGGUAGGAGAUCACUGGUGUGGGGAGAGGGGUGGAGCCUCGCUGCAGGGCAGAAGAGGAGGGAGGGGCCAACAGAAUGCAUGGCAGCAGCUUACCCCGUCCUCUGCCUCAGGAUGGCUUCCCAGUGAUAAAGUGGCAGAGAGGUCAGGUCAAACCCAUCCCCUUCCAUUUCCUACCCAUGUAAUUCUACUAGGCUCUGACCUACAAACCAUCACCAUUCAACCCCGCCCCACCUCCAUCCCCACCUCGACCCCCCUUUCCUCACGUCACGGCCCCUUUCCUGGCCCCCACCCAGGCCUUCCUACACCCUGCCCCUUUCCCCUGUGGUGCCCCCCCACACACACCUCUAAUCCUGGGCAGAGUAACACACAACUUGCCCAGGUAUACACACCUCAACCAGAACACAGCAACAAACCUCUAACCCUGGGCAGAGUAACACACACCUGGCCCAGGUAUACACGCCUCAACCAGAACACAGCAACAAACCUCUAACCCUGGGCAGAGUAACACACACCUGGCCCAGGUAUACACGCCUCAACCAGAACACAGCAACACACCUCUAACCCUUAGACUGGAGAAGAAAGACUAAGGCGUUACCAGGGGUGGAGUCUCGAAGGGCAACGGCCCAAUCAGACCAAAGCCCGGCCAGCAGCAGAGUCUGACACUACCCAGAAAUCCCCACCCCUACCCAAUCCCCCAAUCAGAACCCCCGAGAAGCUCAGACGUGAGAGUGCUAAGCCAAUCAGACAGAGCGAGAAGAAUGUGAGGGGACUGUCUGGGGCAGUGGCUAUUGUGAAGAGAGAGAGAGGCAGACCGAAGGUUACUAGCUCUCCAGCUACACCUGUACAGACCAGCCUUGCAGAACAGAUCAGCCUAGAGGGAGAAACAAGGAGGAGGAAGAAAAAGAGGAGAGUAGAAGCCUCAGCUGGGGUGGGAGAAAGGACCAGAGCCAGGGAGGACAAGCAAGAAACAGAGCCAGCGAGGACAAGCGAGAAACAGAGCCAGCGAGGACAAGCGAGAAACAGAGCCAGCGAGGACAAGCGAGAAACAGAGCCAGC
This is a long non-coding RNA of Oncorhynchus tshawytscha (Chinook salmon), 1131 nucleotides long. The record is from Ensembl. NCBI's taxonomy places the organism in Eukaryota, Metazoa, Chordata, Actinopteri, Salmoniformes, Salmonidae.